Molecule: ribosomal RNA, 615 nt
Filed under: uncultured bacterium
Lineage: Bacteria
Description: bacterial SSU rRNA
Rfam family: Bacterial small subunit ribosomal RNA
Source: RNAcentral
CGGGAGAAGGCGGCGGCUUUACACAUGCAAGUCGAGCGGGGAAAGGUAGCUUGCUACCUGACCUAGCGGCGGACGGGUGAGUAAUGCUUAGGAAUCUGCCUAUUAGUGGGGGACAACAUCUCGAAAGGGAUGCUAAUACCGCAUACGUCCUACGGGAGAAAGCAGGGGACCUUCGGGCCUUGCGCUAAUAGAUGAGCCUAAGUCGGAUUAGCUAGUUGGUGGGGUAAAGGCCUACCAAGGCGACGAUCUGUAGCGGGUCUGAGAGGAUGAUCCGCCACACUGGGACUGAGACACGGCCCAGACUCCUACGGGAGGCAGCAGUGGGGAAUAUUGGACAAUGGGGGGAACCCUGAUCCAGCCAUGCCGCGUGUGUGAAGAAGGCCUUUUGGUUGUAAAGCACUUUAAGCGAGGAGGAGGCUACCGAGAUUAAUACUCUUGGAUAGUGGACGUUACUCGCAGAAUAAGCACCGGCUAACUCUGUGCCAGCAGCCGCGGUAAUACAGAGGGUGCAAGCGUUAAUCGGAUUUACUGGGCGUAAAGCGCGCGUAGGUGGCCAAUUAAGUCAAAUGUGAAAUCCCCGAGCUUAACUUGGGAAUUGCAUUCGAUACUGGUUGG